This 373-nucleotide ribosomal RNA is filed under the name uncultured bacterium. RNAcentral describes it as "bacterial SSU rRNA". It matches the Rfam family "Bacterial small subunit ribosomal RNA", at positions 521 to 896 of the family's 1533-position model. The record is from RNAcentral.
UAAUACGGAGGAUCCAAGCGUUAUCCGGAUUUAUUGGGUUUAAAGGGUGCGUAGGCGGUCCUAUAAGUCAGUGGUGAAAGACGGCAGCUUAACUGUCGCAGUGCCUUUGAUACUGUAGGACUUGAAUCUAUUUGAAGUGGGCGGAAUAAGACAAGUAGCGGUGAAAUGCAUAGAUAUGUCUUAGAACUCCGAUUGCGAAGGCAGCUCACUAAGUUAGUAUUGACGCUGAUGCACGAAAGCGUGGGGAUCAAACAGGAUUAGAUACCCUGGUAGUCCACGCCCUAAACGAUGAUAACUCGAUGUUUGCGAUACACAGUAAGCGUCCAAGCGAAAGCGUUAAGUUAUCCACCUGGGGAGUACGGUCGCAAGAUUG